AGCAGCCGCGGUAAUUCCAGCUCCAAUAGCGUAUAUUAAAGUUGCUGCAGUUAAAAGCUCGUAGUUGAAUUUCGGGACCAUCAUGUCGGUCGUGCCUCGGUACGUACUGGCAUUGUUGGUUUCUACCUUCUGACGAACCAUGAUGUCAUUUAUUUGGUGUCGUGGGAAAUCAGGACUGUUACUUUGAAAAAUUGAGUGUUUAAAGCAGGCUCACGCUUGAAUACAUUAGCAUGGAAUAAUGAAAUAGGACGUUUGAUUCUAUUUUGUUGGUUUCUAGGAUCGACGUAAUGAUUAAUAGGGAUAGUUGGGGGCAUUAGUAUUCAAUUGUCAGAGGUGAAAUUCUUGGAUUUUAUUGAAGACUAACUACUGUGAAAGCAUUUGCCAAGGAUGUUUUCAUUAAUCAAGAACGAAAGUUAGGGAUCGAAGACGAUCAGA
Molecule: unclassified non-coding RNA, 435 nt
Filed under: uncultured Glomus
Lineage: Eukaryota; Fungi; Glomeromycota; Glomeromycetes; Glomerales; Glomeraceae
Description: SSU rRNA
Rfam family: Eukaryotic small subunit ribosomal RNA
Source: RNAcentral